GACGGAGGAUGCAAGCGUUAUCCGGAAUGAUUGGGCGUAAAGCGUCCGCAGGUGGCAGUUCAAGUCUGCUGUCAAAGACCGGGGCUUAACUUCGGAAAGGCAGUGGAAACUGAACAGCUAGAGUAUGGUAGGGGCAGAGGGAAUUCCUGGUGUAGCGGUGAAAUGCGUAGAUAUCAGGAAGAACAUCGGUGGCGAAGGCGCUCUGCUGGACCAUAACUGACACUGAGGGACGAAAGCUAGGGGAGCGAAAGGG
Molecule: ribosomal RNA, 253 nt
Filed under: uncultured bacterium
Lineage: Bacteria
Description: partial 16S ribosomal RNA
Rfam family: Bacterial small subunit ribosomal RNA
Source: RNAcentral